This is a non-coding RNA of Pelobates cultripes (western spadefoot toad), 1450 nucleotides long. NCBI's taxonomy places the organism in Eukaryota, Metazoa, Chordata, Amphibia, Anura, Pelobatidae. The record is from the annotation of a GenBank genome assembly.
AACAGCUCCCUCCAAUAACGAGACAAGGCUACGUUUAGAGGGAUCAAGAAGAACUGUCAAAACCUUUAUUUCCCUUGGGACCAGCCAAUAGGGUAACCACAAUAACAUUGUUGUGAAACCUCAAUAAAAUUACAAACAGUCAAACAAUAUCAAGCAACACACAGUGACUUAUCACAACACAAUGGCACAUGUUUAAAGGGGUGGGGGGAGACAAUAUUUAACAGUAAAUAUCUCACCUGCCUGCAGAAUUAGCAAUAUGCAAAUCUACCCGAAUAUGCAAAUGAACCAGUCUUGCAAUUCAGGUAGUGCAUAUUGCUGUUGCUACCAACAGAGGGCACUAGACAAGCUCCAUAGCCAAACCCACCUAGUUGGUAGCAAACCUCAGCAAUACAAGAGAGCAGGCAAUACAUUACACAGUACACACACACUAUAAACAAUUACAUUACACACACCCUGCACCUAUAAUGGGUACAGGGUGACUAAAACAUAAGAGAAAUAAAGCAGCCUACAUAAAUAGUCUGUCUGAAGGUAGAAUAGGGGCUUUAAAGCCAGAUACAUGAAAGAGUCAUAGUCACAGGGGAGGAGGCUGGCAAGUAGGCCUCUCCAGGACCAAGUGGCGAAGGGCACUUCGUCACACACUCCAAACUAUCAGGCACCGAGAGGAUCAGCCCCUUGAGGACAUGGGAUCCAAAUUGUAGUGUGAUGCACAAACUCCCUCUCAGCCGAAAUUGUGAAGCAGAAAACAAUGUUGCUUUAUUCCAAAUAGACAAAUAUAAAAUAAAUAACUGGUACUGUAUUGAAGUAGAUCAGAUAGUCCUGGUAGUUCGUGGAUAAACCGUCUUAGUUCUAUCUUACUAUAUGUCCAGCUGAUCGCAGACUCUCUGUACAAGUGCAGCUACUUCCGGGUUCGGUGUGGCACCUUUGGUUUUAUAGAUGGCGUAAAUCGACGGCUCUGUUUAUAGUUGGCUUAAAUCACUGACUCUGUUUAUAGGUGGCGUAAACUGUUUAUAAAUAUAAACACACUAGGAGAGCGCAAUUCUUAUAAAAGUAUACAAUAUUUAAAAAUGACAAAUGAAAAUAAAACAGCUGCUAUCCACAAAAAUGUUUUUCCUUAAAAUCUCUUUUAGUUCAAAUGUAAAGAUAAGUGGAAUCGUAAAUCUAUAUACCUCUCCAAGGUAUAUUAACUUUUUCAAUUCCACAAAAGUUUAUUCCUCCUGGAUUACUAGCAUGAUGCUCCAAAAAAAAAGUUUGGAUGAGUGUUUUCAAACCUUCUUUUAAUAUUGUAUAUAUGUUCGUUAAGUCUGAUUUUUAAGUUCCUUUUCGUUUGUCCCACAUAUUGUAGUCCACAAGGACAACUGAAUAAAUAUCUAACCUGCUUUGAAUGGCAGGUCAUACAUUCUUUAAUAUCAUGAUUUUUGCAUGUAAGGGUUCCCUUUGGGGGGGGGAAAGG